GAUGCCACACCCUGAAAUUCCUCAGGGACCAG
This 32-nucleotide non-coding RNA is filed under the name Mus musculus (house mouse). Lineage: Eukaryota; Metazoa; Chordata; Mammalia; Rodentia; Muridae. The record is from RNAcentral.